Molecule: ribosomal RNA, 1052 nt
Filed under: uncultured archaeon
Lineage: Archaea
Description: bacterial SSU rRNA
Rfam family: Archaeal small subunit ribosomal RNA
Source: RNAcentral
GCGGCCGCUCUGGUUGUUCCUGGCGGAGGCCACUGCUAUCGGAGUUCCAUUAAGCCAUGCGAGUCGAGAGGUGCAAGACCUCGGCAUACUGCUCAGUAACACGUGGACAACCUACCCUAUGGAGGGGGAUAACCCCGGGAAACUGGGGAUAAUACCCCAUAGACUAUAGAUGCUGGAAUGCUUUGUAGUUGAAAGGUCCGCCGCCAUAGGAUGGGUCUGCGGCCGAUUAGGUUGUUGUUGGGGUAACGGCCCAACAAGCCUGUAAUCGGUACGGGUUGUGGGAGCAAGAGCCCGGAGAUGGAUUCUGAGACACGAAUCCAGGCCCUACGGGGCGCAGCAGGCGCGAAAACUUUACAAUGCGGGAAACCGUGAUAAGGGAACUCCGAGUGCCCGUAAAAUCGGGCUGUCCAUCUGUUUAAAUAACAGGUGAAGAAAGGGCCGGGCAAGACCGGUGCCAGCCGCCGCGGUAAUACCGGCGGCUCGAGUGGUGGCCACUAUUACUGGGCUUAAAGCGUUCGUAGCUGGUCUGUUAAGUCUCUGGGGAAAUCUACUGGCUUAAUCAAUAGGCGUCUCAGGGAUACUGGCAGACUAGGGACCGGGAGUAGGUGAGAGGUACUCCAGGGGUAGGAGUGAAAUUCUGUAAUCCUUGGGGGACCACCUGUGGCGAAGGCGUCUCUACCAGAACGGCUCCGACAGUGAGGGACGAAAGCUGGGGGAGCAAACCGGAUUAGAUACCCGGGUAGUCCCAGCCGUAAACGAUGCGCGUUAGGUGUAUCGGUGACCACGAGUCACCGAGGUGCCGAAGAGAAAUUGUGAAACGUGCCGCCUGGGAAGUACGGUCGCAAGGCUGAAACUUAAAGGAAUUGGCGGGGGAGCACUACAACAGGUGGAGCCUGCGGUUUAAUCGGACUCAACGCCGGAAAUCUCACCGGAUAAGACAGCUGGAUGAUAGUCGGGCUGAAGACUCUACUUGACUAGCUGAGAGGAGGUGCAUGGCCGUCGUCAGUUCGUACUGUGAAGCAUCCUGUUUAGUCAGGCAACGAGCGAGACCC